GUGGGGAAUCUUGCGCAAUGGGCGAAAGCCUGACGCAGCAACGCCGCGUGCGGGAUGACGGCCCUCGGGUUGUAAACCGCUUUCAGUGGGGGCGAACCAAGACGGUACCCACAGAAGAAGCCCCGGCCAAAUACGUGCCAGCAGCCGCGGUAACACGUAGGGGGCAAGCGUUGUCCGGAUUCAUUGGGCGUAAAGAGCUCGUAGGCGGUUCGAUAAGUCGGGUGUGAAACCUCCAGGCUCAACCUGGAGACGCCACCCGAUACUGUCGUGACUAGAGUCCAGUAGGGGAGCGUGGAAUUCCUGGUGUAGCGGUGAAAUGCGCAGAUAUCAGGAGGAACACCAGCGGCGAAGGCGGCGCUCUGGGCUGGAACUGACGCUGAGGAGCGAAAGCGUGGGGAGCGA
RNAcentral lists this ribosomal RNA (402 nucleotides) under uncultured bacterium. Its description in RNAcentral is "bacterial SSU rRNA". It matches the Rfam family "Bacterial small subunit ribosomal RNA", at positions 354 to 771 of the family's 1533-position model. The record is from RNAcentral.